Molecule: long non-coding RNA, 925 nt
Filed under: Bemisia tabaci
Lineage: Eukaryota; Metazoa; Arthropoda; Insecta; Hemiptera; Aleyrodidae
Description: lncRNA ENSSSA2NGG008730
Source: RNAcentral
CCAUCAUAACUAAAUUAUUUUAAAAAAUAAAUAAAUAAAUAAUUUGGGAUAUCAGAAAAUUUGCAAAUAAGAAGCUGUAAUAACAGUUGUCACCUAUCUCUUGUUUCAGAUUUCUGGAUCUGUGAUAACCUCGUUAAAAGUUUCCUUGGCUCGUCAGCAAUACCUACAACUCUUGGAUACGGCUAAUUAUUUACUCACAGCUGACUAUCGUCCGUCCCCGUCUCUGAUCACAGCCCCAAACAUCAGCUCAAAGUUGGACAACAUCGAAGAAGAGAGAUCAGCGUUAUCCACUUUGGAAUUAGAUCCAUCUUUGAGGCAUCGAAUGUUGAGUCAUCUCACCGUAAAUCAUGUUGAUAGUGCCAAUAAACAGUUUUUAACCUUGAAUGUUGCAUUUGAUCUCCCAGUUUUUUCAAUGGAAUUGAAGGCUGAUCUAGGUUCUGGAGAGCAAGGGCUUGUCGACCUCUCUUUUCAAAAUCUUUCAGUUUCUUAUGAUCGCUCUCUCCCACAUGAAACUAACCUUCAGGUUUCUUUAAGGUCCUUUGUUAUGGAAGAUUUAUCUCAGGAACAGGAUUCAAAACACAGAUUCAUAGUUCAGUCUCUCAAUUCAUCUCAAUCAAGGAGCCUUGAAAUCCCAAGUUGUACGUAUUUAUCAACGUCUUGUCCAAAUCUUUUACCUCAUCAACUCUCCAAGAUGCAGACGCAAACAUUUUGUGGCUCCUUGCCCGACCAUCUCCACACUGAAAUGAUCCUCGGUGCCCCAAGGCAGUCAACCCUUCCAACAGGUCUGUUUCUUGUUGUUUCGUCAAGUAUGUAGUAUUUCACUAAACUGCAACAUGUAAUGUCCUGUUUUUCUUGUUUAUCUGUGCUGUGUAAUUUUCAAUCUAGCGACUAAUCUGAAAAGUUUCUUGUAAUUUUUGUGCAUAAU